CUCUCUCUCUUCUAUUCUGCCUCUCUCUCUUCCUCCUCUCCUCCCUCUCCUUUCCUCCACGCCACCGUCCCUUUAGCAGCAGCCUACGCAGGAUAUACACUACCCACACAAGGGUAGUUCAGCUACCACCCCAACUACACGGGCAGCUAAGCCACUAGGCGACCGACUCGAGCAGAAGAGUCACCGCCUGAACACAAGAUACCAUCAGCCUCGGUAACAUACACCCAUACGUCAACGACUACAUGUCCUCCGUAGGCACCACGGUCAAGAAGUAGCAGGUACGAAUAGAAGAUAUACGAGAUCGUCGGUCCUAAAUUAACUACCUCAGGACGACGAUUUCCUCCACUUGUCCUUCAGGAUAGCGACCUACAAAUGACAGGCUUAACGUUCCUAGACCCUUAUGUACUCAUGUCUGGGAUAGUUUAAGAUAUCGAGAUAAGUAACCGUGUGGUCAACUAGUUAAAACUCCACCGUGUAGUUGUAAUACAUGGACUUCGCUAGCGAUGUCUUCUUUCCGCUAUUGCCGCGGUGCUCCUAAGCGACGGCACUCCUCCUGGGGCUGGGCAUACUACCGGUGGCCUUCCAGUGUGUGAAGAAACCGAUCGAGUCUGACCGAGGUAACUGCUGAAGAGAUACCAUAGAAGAACACGUCGAAGUAUGGACGAACACACAGAACGUUUUUUCAUUCGAUGGACCAUGGAGAGAUGAGACGAAAUCGUCCGCAAACGUCUCCUUCGGUUCACUAUGUACUAUGACCACAUAAACAACCCAAGGAGAACCGCACAACUUGUUUUUAACCACCAGUCGUGACGAUAAAUUUCAACCAAACUAGUCAUGAUCCCUUUUGGGUAUAUACCUUCCUUUAAUAACAUCCAUAGAUUCUUACGACUACUAAUGUGAGCCUCGUUCGGAACAGUGCCGCGACGUUCACAACGGGGGGAGGAGGGGUUCCCGUUCCACUUCCUUCCACGCACACACCAAGAAGACGUCGAGCGUCGCUCCUAACGCACAGGUUGGACGUGUUCUUACGGUUCUUCAGGAAGAGCCUCUGCUAAUUCCUGUACAUGGACGUGAUGUUGCUCUCUAGGCCCUACGAAAAAACACCGAAGGUUUGAACUUUACAAACAAACAUUCAAUCAAAUCAAAAAACAACACCUAAGUGUCGAAGAGUGUACAUGGUAGGAGAAUCUGGAAAUAUAAAGGUUUCUUUGAUUUGCUUCUAUACCACCAUACCAGAGUUGUCAUGUUGAACUUCGGAAGGUACGAAAUAUAAACGA
This 1277-nucleotide ribosomal RNA is filed under the name Triticum aestivum (bread wheat). RNAcentral describes it as "partial small subunit ribosomal RNA". Lineage: Eukaryota; Viridiplantae; Streptophyta; Magnoliopsida; Poales; Poaceae. The record is from RNAcentral.